GACGAACGCUGGCGGCGUGCUUAACACAUGCAAGUCGAACGGAAAGGCCCUGCUUUUGUGGGGUGCUCGAGUGGCGAACGGGUGAGUAACACGUGAGUAACCUGCCCUUGCCUUUGGGAUAACUUCAGGAAACUGGGGCUAAUACCGGAUAGGAGCUCCUGCUGCAUGGUGGGGGUUGGAAAGUUUCGGCGGUUGGGGAUGGAAUCGCGGCUUAUCAGCUUGUUGGGGGGGUAGUGGCUUACCAAGGCUUUGACGGGUAGCCGGCCUGAGAGGGUAACCGGCCACAUUAGGCCUGAGAUGAGACCCAGACUACAACGGGAGGCAGCGGAGGGGAAUGUUGCACAAGGGGCGGAGGCCUGGUGCAGCAACGCCGCGUGGGGGAUGACGGCCAUCGGGUUGUAUACCGCUUUCGUCUGUGACGAGGCGUGAGUGACGGUAAUGGGUAAAGAAGCACCGGCUAACUACGUG
Molecule: ribosomal RNA, 468 nt
Filed under: uncultured bacterium
Lineage: Bacteria
Description: partial 16S ribosomal RNA
Rfam family: Bacterial small subunit ribosomal RNA
Source: RNAcentral